Homarus americanus (American lobster) is the source of this 1631-nucleotide long non-coding RNA. RefSeq lists it as uncharacterized. The transcript has 14 exons. The record is from RefSeq and is a predicted model, not a curated record. Lineage: Eukaryota; Metazoa; Arthropoda; Malacostraca; Decapoda; Nephropidae.
CAAGUUAUACAUUGUUUAAAUGUAGGAUUUAAGAACCCAAUAUACUGAUGAAAUAAAUAAUUCCGAUCAUUAUGAUGCAGAACUCUCUCCCUGAUUAUAUCCUGCUAAUAUGCAAUAGUGUUGCUUUUGUAUUCAAUGCUUAUUGAUAAAUGACUUUACUGUCCACAGACUAAAAUGAAAACACAUGACAUGUAGUAGUUACUUCAUCAGAGAUACAUUAUUAAGCCUUUGGUGUUGAUACAAACCCAUUGGAGCAGUUGACGAAUGAAAAUGGUAUCUCUCCAAGUACUGUACUGUAUUGUGUUCCACACCAGCUGCAUGUGAUGGGAGUAUGGCGCUGUGUAUCCAUUUCACUGAUCAGCCAUUGGUAACGAGUAAUCAAAGGAAAGCUGCCAUUCAACAAAAGGGGACAUUGUAUCACACUCUGUAUUGGGACUGUAUCACAAUUCCACAGAUCAAGUCCAGCCUUUGGUGUUUGAUAAAAAAUGUUGGAAGGAACAUUGGUCAUGAAGAUGUUUACCUUGUCAUUCAAUAUGGUGUUCCAGGCCAGUCUCUGCUGUUGUAGGAGUGUCAUAGUGCAUCACUAACCAGAAGAUCAACCAUAGUAAAGAUAAAAGAACGUGGCAUCUAGCAGCUGGUUAAUAUCAGAUAUAUUAAGCUGUUGGUUGCACAAUAUAAAAUACUCGGGACCAACUACACUAUAUUGAGGAGGCGGCAUCAUCGUUCAUCACAGGUCCAGCCUUUGGUGUCUGAUGAAAAAUGUUGGAAGGAACAUUGGUCAUGAAGAUGUUUACCUUGUCAUUCAAUAUGGUGUUCCAGGCCAGUCUCUGCUGUUGUAGGAGUGUCAUAGUGCAUCACUAACCAGAAGAUCAACUAUAGUAAAGAUAAAAGAACGUGGCAUCUAGCAGCUGGUUAAUAUCAGAUAUAUUAAGCUGUUGGUUGCACAAUAUAAAAUACUCGGGACCAACUACACUAUAUUGAGGAGGCGGCAUCAUCGUUCAUCACAGGUCCAGCCUUUGGUGUCUGAUGAAAAAUGUUGGAAGGAACAUUGGUCAUGAAGAUGUUUACCUUGUCAUUCAAUAUGGUGUUCCAGGCCAGUCUCUGCUGUUGUAGGAGUGUCAUAGUGCAUCACUAACCAGAAGAUCAACCAUAGCAAAAAUAAAAGGUUGACAUCUUGCAGCUGGUUUGAGAUAUAUGAAGGAUUGGAAUGAAGUCAGUCUGAAGGCUGCAAGAAUACAGAAGAGGAGGGGGGGGGUCUUCUAUGUUUCAUCUACAGUACUUCUAUAUUACAAUUGAUUAAUGGAAGAUGAAAAAUAUGGUUACAUGAGAACAUAUUAGUCCUGUUACUGUAUAUCUUCCACAAGGCAACUAGUUGUCUGUAGUAUUUAGUUUUACAACACCAGGACAAGGCACAGCCCGGUCAUGGUACUCGAACACAUACUGUCAACUCUUGUGUGACUGCAGCAUUAAGGUGUUAAAAUUUAAACCUUUCCCCCUUAAGAUGUUACAGGUGACAUAAGUUUCAUCUAAUCAAAUCUUAAAAGAAACGGCUUUGGCUAAAGAUGCUGCCUGUAUCUUGUAACUCAAGAAUUCAGCCCAUGUUUUAAUGUCAGAGGAAUAGAAGAUUAAUG